Molecule: long non-coding RNA, 901 nt
Organism: Carassius gibelio (silver crucian carp)
Lineage: Eukaryota; Metazoa; Chordata; Actinopteri; Cypriniformes; Cyprinidae
Exons: 3
Source: RefSeq, a predicted model, not a curated record
CUGACACAGAGACACAUAUGGACACUUUGUAGCCUGUUUACACUCUUGCUGGUUCCACCUGUGCAGAAACCUGUUGCCCGUUUCCAGCAGCUGUUUAAAUGUUUCCCUUUAAAGCACUUUCACUGAAUGUCCCUUUCUCGUAGGUCUCCAGUGCCGCAGAGCAUCAGGUGUUGGAUAUUUCACUAGCAGCGCACAGCUCUGGAACGGCAUACAGCAUGCAUGAGUGACCUCAGAGUGAGAGAAAACAGACAAUUUCCACACACACACACACACACCAAGUGAAAACAGACAAGUGAAAGUGUGAGGAAUCCCUGAGACGUAAAAACUCUAGGAACGCAACAUGAGCAAUGAAAUCUAAAGAAAAGAACGGCUGUAUACGCGCUCCUCUGCUGAAUCAAUACUGAACAGAGAGUCAGGCCAGAGAUGUGGCCUUCACGAUGAACGAGGACAAACCGAUUGUGUGUGAAAACUGAGUGUUCGAGACAUCCAUCACCAACACUGCAGGAACUGAUCAGACUGUACGAUCAGUCAAACCGCUGAGAACCAAACAUGAGCAACACAUCUCUGGAGCUCACAAAGGGACAAGAUGUCUAAUGCUGGUUAUGAAUAAGAGAGUUUUUCUUUGUCUAGCACUGGAUCUGGUAAUAUAGAGAGCAGAUGAAGAGGGUCGUCAGAAAUGUAGAUUGGGGCAAGAUGGAAGACGCCAGUAAUGAGGUAAAGAAGAAUCAACUAACAACAACAAGAAGUUCCCAAACUCCUGAGAUCAAAUUCACAUAAAUUCACAAAAUAAAUAUUGGAUGCAAAAGGGAACUGCUAUUGUGAAUCAGUCAAGUCAAUCGACGAUUGUUGAAUAUGUUAAAAACCAACAGAGAAUUUAGUAAUGUGGUCCAAAAUUUUAAGA